This is an RNA transcript of Camelus dromedarius (Arabian camel), 2717 nucleotides long. It is a transcript of the gene named EF-hand domain family member D1, with no coding region annotated. The transcript has 8 exons. The record is from RefSeq and is a predicted model, not a curated record. Lineage: Eukaryota; Metazoa; Chordata; Mammalia; Artiodactyla; Camelidae.
CCCCCGUCACCGGUUCCACCCAACCGCCGGGUCCCCGCCGCCUUGGCGAAGUGUCGGACUGUCGCGAGCCCUCAAGGAGCGCGCUGCUCGCCCAGGCCCCCCGCCAGGUCUCGCGUCCCCGAGUCCCCGAGUCCCCGAAUCCACUGUGGCUAUGGCCAGUGAGGAGCUCGCAAGCAAGCUGCAGCGGCGACUGCAGUGGGAGGAGGCGGAGGACGGCGGUGUCCAGCCUGCGCCCCGCGCCGCCUCCGUCCCCGAGUCCCAGCCGCAGCCACUUGCCCGGGUGCCCACCGCCAGAGCCGACGCCGAGUUGAGCGCGCAGCUGAACCGACGGUUGGACAUCAACGAGGGCGCGGCGCGGCCCCGCCGCUGCAAGGUCUUCCACCCCUACUCCGAGUUCCCGGAGUUUAGCCGCCGCCUCAUCAAGGACCUGGAGAGCAUGUUCAGACUCUACGACUCGGGAAGGGAUGGCUUCAUCGACCUGAUGGAGCUGAAGCUGAUGAUGGAGAAGCUGGGGGCCCCCCAGACCCACCUGGGCCUGAAGAGCAUGAUCAAGGAGGUGGAUGAGGACUUUGAUGGCAAACUCAGCUUCCGUGAGUUUCUGCUCAUAUUCCACAAGGCCGCUGCAGGGGAGCUGCAGGAGGACAGCGGGCUGAUGGCCCUGGCCAAGCUUUCUGAGAUCGAUGUUGCCCUGGAGGGCGUCAAAGGUGCCAAGGACUUUUUUGAAGCCAAGGUACAAGCCUUGUCCUCUGCCAGUAAGUUUGAAGCUGAGUUAAAAGCGGAGCAAGAUGAGCGGAAGCGCGUGGAGGAGAAGAGGAGGCUUCGCCAGGCAGCCUUCCGGGAACUCAAGGCCGCUUUCAGUACUUAGGAUGGCAAAUGGGCAGGAAAAUGCUGGAUGAAAACCUGUGGAAAAGUUCUACUGUGGAAAAUCAGCCCGUAAAAGAGCUUUCUGAACUGCCAACGGGCUCUGGAUUGGGCGCACAGGACGGUGGUAACCAGCGACUCCAUCUCGCUCCCUUCCGCGGCUCCGCUCCGUGCCCCAGCUCUGCAGCCCCGCCUGGGCCUCCUGGGCCUGCCGCCCGCGCUCUCGUCCCCGCCGCUCCUGCCCGACCCAGCCCAGCCGCAUGGACACCCACAGGCCGCCCGGCAGCCGCCGCGGCCGGCUCGGGCGUCAGGCGAGGGGACAGGUCAGGUGCGGGGCUGGAGGGAGCCUCCUCCCCGCCGGGGGGCAUGCCGGACCCGGGCGCGUCUCGGCCGCCGAGCUGGAGAGCCCCCUCCGCCGGGGCCUGUUGGCAUCGCAGGGGCAGGCGAGGAAGGGAAGAGGGUGGUGGGGUGGGCAGUGUCAGGCCGGCUUGCUUAGGGCCAGAGGGCUCGCCUUCCGCUACCUGCUUCUAGCCACCCGCCCAGCCUCGGGGUGCCCGGGGUAACAGCUGCUUCUGCUAGACAGCUGCUCCUGCCCGCGCUCCUCCCAACACCUGGCCUCUGGGAGAUGCGCCCUUGCCUUCCUCACCGAGCAUCUGCAUUGGGGACUCCUUCCGUGGCGAGAGGACUGGGUCUGAAACAGGCCUGAAGCCAGGUGGAGCCAUGAUCAGAACCUGGGACGGAGGCUGGGAAAGUAGAACCCAUGGCAGCUUUGGGACCCGAACGUUCACAUCGGUUUAAAAUGGGCAUUAGCCUUAAGUGUCAGCAGUUAUCCACGAAGCACUCAGAAUAUUUCAGUUUUGUGGCUGAAACAUAAACCAAACAGCCAGGGAAGGGGGUAUGAAAGCAGGUUGUAUGACCGUGUUUGGGAAGCAGUAACGUUGCUUUGCAUUUAUCUGGCAUUGUUUUUUGUUUGUUUUGUUUUCAAAUCCUUUGACUGAAAGCCCUUAAGCACGCCUAAUUUCUCUGUAACAAAGGUAAGUAUUUCAGUUUAACUUGCAGGACAUUGAGGAAGAGGCCAGAAACGUGGACAGUUUCUUAUCCAGUGUACUUACCUUGGACUGACUAUAGGCAGUUUUGAUUCCCAAUGUGUAUGCGGGGAAGAUAUUUUUUCCUUACAUAUUAUUUCCUUUUUAGAGUCUAAUGAUUUCCUAGAUUUAAAAAAAUUGUCAUCUUUUCUGAACAUCGACUUUUCCUUCUAAUAUUUGCAACUCUGGCCUUUCAGAGUUUUGUCUAUUUUGAUGAGAACGCAAAUAUGUUCUCUCAUUCAUUGAUGUUUUUAUGUGUUCCUCUAGUUAGCAGCUUUCAGAGUACUCAAGCUGGAAUAUGUACUUGUCUGUUACAUCAAAUGUUGACAUCAGUAGAGGACACUAGGAAAAAAAAAUUAAAAGUGGCUUGUAUCUAGAAAAAUGUCAGUCCUUUUGGCAUUUAAUACUGGGGAAUACACUGGUGAUGGUAGUAACUCGCUAGAAAAGAAAGGGCUUCACAGUUUUUCUGUACUUGACAAAGCAUUUUAGGAUUUUGAGACCCAGGAAGGAGAAGGUAUAUGUGCUUCCAUUCAUUUAUUCUUUCAUUUGUGCAUUUAUUUAUUUGAAAAAUACUGAGACCCUACUACACUGUUGGAUGCUGGGAGCCAAAUAGUCCUGUUUCCAUGGAGCUCAUUUCUAGACAGCUAAAUAAAUACUUAGAUUUUAGUGGGACCGGUGUCAUUAGGUUGAAUCUACAGCCUAUGUUGGUGUUAAUCCAGUUAUAUUAGAGUGUUAAAGGACCUGAACAAAAUCUGCUCAAACCUCCUGCUG